AGUGAACGCUGGCGGUAGGCCUAACACAUGCGAGUCGAACGGCAGCACAGUAAGAGCUUGCUCUUACGGGUUGCGAGUGGCGGACGGGUGAGGAAUACAUCGGAAUCUACUUUUUCGUGGGGGAUAACGUAGGUAAACUUACUCUAAUACCGCAUACGACCUACGGGUGAAAGCAGGGGAUCUUCGGACCUUGCGCGAUUGAAUGAGCCUAUGUCGGAUUAGCUAGUUGGCGGGGUGAAGGCCCACCAAGGCGACGAUCCGUAGCUGGACUGAGAGGCUGAUCGGCCACACUGGAACUGAGACACGGUCCAGACUACUAAGGGAGGCAGCAGUGGGGAACAUUGGACAAUGGUCGCAAGCCUGAUACAGCCAUACCGAGUGGGUGACGAAGGCCUUCGGGUUGUAAAGCCCUUUUGUUGGGAAAGAAAAGCAGCAGCUUAAUACCAAGCUGUUCUGACGGUACCCAAAGAAUAAGCACCGGCUAACUUCGUG
This 492-nucleotide ribosomal RNA is filed under the name uncultured bacterium. RNAcentral describes it as "partial 16S ribosomal RNA". It matches the Rfam family "Bacterial small subunit ribosomal RNA", at positions 29 to 507 of the family's 1533-position model. The record is from RNAcentral.